RNAcentral lists this signal recognition particle RNA (266 nucleotides) under Tissierella creatinini. RNAcentral's name for it is "signal recognition particle sRNA large type". It matches the Rfam family "Bacterial large signal recognition particle RNA". From Rfam's summary of the family: The signal recognition particle (SRP) is a universally conserved ribonucleoprotein involved in the co-translational targeting of proteins to membranes. Archaeal SRP consists of a 7S RNA and homologues of the eukaryotic SRP19 and SRP54 proteins. Lineage: Bacteria; Bacillati; Bacillota; Tissierellia; Tissierellales; Tissierellaceae. The record is from RNAcentral.
CCGUGCUAGAUGGGGAGGUAGCGGUGCCCUAUAACCUGCAAUCCGCUACAGCAGGAUUGAAUUCCCAGUCUAGGGAUUUCUAUUGUGAGGUCUGCCCUGAACAAGUGGCGUUGACGGUUGGGUCCUGCGCAACGGAAACUCAUGAACCUCGUCAGGUCCGGAAGGAAGCAGCGAUAAGUGAACAUUUCCGUGUGCCGCAGGGAAGCCUGACCCGAGCUAACUACUUAGGUAACGCUUGGAAUGGAAUUUCGAAGCUGGGUGCACGG